Molecule: ribosomal RNA, 398 nt
Filed under: uncultured bacterium
Lineage: Bacteria
Description: bacterial SSU rRNA
Rfam family: Bacterial small subunit ribosomal RNA
Source: RNAcentral
UAUUGCACAAUGCGGGAAACCCUGAAGCAGCGACGCCGCGGGAGUGAGGAAGUAUUUCGGUAUGUAAAGCUCUAUCAGCAGUGAAGAAGAAAUGACGGUACCUGAGUAAGAAGCCCCGGCUAACUACGUGCCAGCAGCCGCGGUAAUACGUAGGGGGCAAGCGUUAUGCGGAAUUACUGGGUGUAAAGGGAGCGUAGACGGUGAUGUAAGUCUGGAGUGAAAGGCGGGGGCCCAACCCCCGGACUGCUCUGGAAACUAUGUGACUGGAGUGCAGGAGAGGUGAGCGGAAUUCCUAGUGUAGCGGUGAAAUGCGUAGAUAUUAGGAGGAACACCAGUGGCGAAGGCGGCUCACUGGACUGUAACUGACGUUGAGGCUCGAAAGCGUGGGGAGCAAACAG